RNAcentral lists this ribosomal RNA (253 nucleotides) under uncultured bacterium. RNAcentral's name for it is "partial 16S ribosomal RNA". It matches the Rfam family "Bacterial small subunit ribosomal RNA", at positions 524 to 776 of the family's 1533-position model. The record is from RNAcentral.
UACGUAGGGUCUAAGCGUUAAUCGGAAUUACUGGGCGUAAAGCGCACGUAGGUGGUUUGUUAAGUCAGCUGUGAAAUCCCCGGGCUCAACCUGGGCACUGCAGUUGAAACUGGCAAGCUAGAGUAGGGUAGAGGGGUGUGGAAUUCCAGGUGUAGCGGUGAAAUGCGUAGAUAUCUGGAGGAACAUCAGUGGCGAAGGCGACACCCUGGACUCAUACUGACACUGAGGUGCGAAAGCGUGGGGAGCAAACAGG